RNAcentral lists this ribosomal RNA (497 nucleotides) under uncultured bacterium. Its description in RNAcentral is "partial 16S ribosomal RNA". It matches the Rfam family "Bacterial small subunit ribosomal RNA", at positions 28 to 507 of the family's 1533-position model. The record is from RNAcentral.
GAUGAACGCUGGCGGCGUGCCUAAUACAUGCAAGUCGAGCGAACGGACGAGAAGCUUGCUUCUCUGAUGUUAGCGGCGGACGGGUGAGUAACACGUGGAUAACCUACCUAUAAGACUGGGAUAACUUCGGGAAACCGGAGCUAAUACCGGAUGAUAUUUUGAACCGCAUGGUUCAAAAGUGAAAGACGGUCUUGCUGUCACUUAUAGAUGGAUCCGCGCUGCAUUAGCUAGUUGGUAAGGUAACGGCUUACCAAGGCAACGAUGCAUAGCCGACCUGAGAGGCUGAUCGGCCACCCUGGAACUGAGACACGGUCCAGACUCCUACGGGAGGCAGCAGUAGGGACUCUUCCGCAAUGGGCGAAAGCCUGACGGAGCAACGCCGCGUGAGUGAUGAAGGUCUUCGGAUCGUAAAACUCUGUUAUUAGGGAAGAACAUAUGUGUAAGUAACUGUGCACAUCUUGACGGUACCUAAUCAGAAAGCCACGGCUAACUACGUG